RNAcentral lists this ribosomal RNA (494 nucleotides) under uncultured bacterium. RNAcentral's name for it is "partial 16S ribosomal RNA". It matches the Rfam family "Bacterial small subunit ribosomal RNA", at positions 28 to 507 of the family's 1533-position model. The record is from RNAcentral.
GACGAACGCUGGCGGCGUGCUUAACACAUGCAAGUCGAACGGUGAAGCGCCUUCCUUUUUGGUGGGUGUGGAUGAGUGGCGAACGGGUGAGUAACACGUGAGUAACCUGCCCCCUUCUUCUGGAUAACCGCAUGAAAGUGUGGCUAAUACGGGAUAUUCUGGGUCUGUCGCAUGAUGGGUCUGGGAAAGAUAUUGUUUCGGUGGGGGAUGGGCUCGCGGCCUAUCAGCUUGUUGGUGGGGUGAUGGCCUACCAAGGCGGUGACGGGUAGCCGGCCUGAGAGGGUGGACGGUCACACUGGGACGGAGACACGGCCCAGACUCCUACGGGAGGCAGCAGUGGGGAAUAGUGCACAAUGGGCGCAAGCCUGAUGCAGCGACGCCGCGUGGGGGAUGGAGGCCUUCGGGUUGUGAACCUCUUUCGCCAGUGAAGCAGGCCUGCCUCGUUUGUGGGUGGGUUGACGGUAGCUGGAUAAGAAGCGCCGGCUAACUACGUG